Molecule: ribosomal RNA, 1127 nt
Filed under: uncultured marine bacterium
Lineage: Bacteria
Description: bacterial SSU rRNA
Rfam family: Bacterial small subunit ribosomal RNA
Source: RNAcentral
GAGUUUGAUCAUGGCUCAGAACGAACGCUGGCGGCAGGCCUAACACAUGCAAGUCGUACGAGAAGGUUCUUUCGGGAACUGGAGAGUGGCGCACGGGUGAGUAACGCGUGGGGACCUACCUCUUAGUGGGGGAUAACGGUUGGAAACGACCGCUAAUACCGCAUACGCCCUUCGGGGGAAAGAUUUAUCGCUAAGAGAUGGACCCGCGUUGGAUUAGAUAGUUGGUGAGGUAACGGCUCACCAAGUCAGCGAUCCAUAGCUGGUUUGAGAGGAUGAUCAGCCACACUGGGACUGAGACACGGCCCAGACUCCUACGGGAGGCAGCAGUGGGGAAUAUUGGACAAUGGGCGCAAGCCUGAUCCAGCCAUGCCGCGUGAGUGAAGAAGGCCUUCGGGUUGUAAAGCUCUUUCAGAUGCGAAGAUGAUGACGGUAACAUCAGAAGAAGCCCCGGCUAAUUUCGUGCCAGCAGCCGCGGUAAUACGAAAGGGGCAAGCGUUGUUCGGAUUUACUGGGCGUAAAGGGCACGCAGGCGGUCUUGCCAGUCAGGGGUGAAAGCCCGGGGCUCAACCCCGGAACUGCCUCUGAUACUGCAGGACUAGAGACUAGGAGAGGGUGGUGGAAUUCCCAGUGUAGAGGUGAAAUUCGUAGAUAUUGGGAGGAACACCAGAGGCGAAGGCGGCCACCUGGACUAGAUCUGACGCUCAGGUGCGAAAGCGUGGGGAGCAAACAGGAUUAGAUACCCUGGUAGUCCACGCCGUAAACGAUGAGUGCUAGUUGUCGGGAUUUCGAUUUCGUGACGCAGCUAACGCAUUAAGCACUCCGCCUGGGGGAGUACGGUCGCAGAUUAAACUCAAGGAAUUGACGGGGGCCCGCACAGCGGUGGAGCAUGGUGGUUUAUUCGAAGCACGCGCAGACUACACCCUGACAUCCUAUCGCGAUUUCAGAGAUGAUAUCAUCAGUCGCUGAUAGUGACAGUGCUGCAUGUCUGUCGUCAGCUCUUCCUGAAUGUAGCUUAAGUCCGCAACGAGCGCACUCCUGUCUAGUGCAGCAUCAGUGUACCUAGAACUGCGGUACAGCCGAGAGCGAUGACUCAGUCCUAUGCUACGUGCUACAUCGUGCUACAAUUG